This 267-nucleotide ribosomal RNA is filed under the name uncultured bacterium. RNAcentral describes it as "partial 16S ribosomal RNA". It matches the Rfam family "Bacterial small subunit ribosomal RNA", at positions 793 to 1055 of the family's 1533-position model. The record is from RNAcentral.
GUCCUAGCUGUAAACGAUGGGUACUAGGCAGCGGGGGCCCGAUGCUCUCGCUGUCGAAGCGAAUGUGCUAAGUACCCCGCCUGGGGAGUACGGCCGCAAGGCUGAAACUCAAAGGAAUUGACGGGGGCUCACACAAGCGGUGGAGCAUGUGGUUCAAUUCGAAGCAACGCGCAGAACCUUACCAGGGUUUGAAAUGCACGGAUUAGUCUCCCGAAAAGGAGAUGACACCUUUUGGUGGAACGUGCACAGGUGUUGCAUGGCUGUCGU